Molecule: long non-coding RNA, 996 nt
Filed under: Crocodylus porosus (Australian saltwater crocodile)
Lineage: Eukaryota; Metazoa; Chordata; Crocodylia; Crocodylidae
Description: lncRNA (ENSCPRG00005000787.1)
Source: RNAcentral
AUGAUGGUGAAACGGAGACCCAGGAAGUUUUGUGUGGUUCCUGAGUUUAUAGUGACUCAUACUGUAAAUAAGACUGGGAAUCAGAAUGUCACAUCUUCUAAGUGCUCCAAUUUCAGGAGAGUCAAAAUGUUUGUUUCGAUUGAAAACGUCAGAGCGCAGCGUGCGACACGUGGAAAUCCAGGACAGUCUCUAUUUUGUUCCAUAGACAGCUUGGAAAGGUCCCUGCGGCCCAGUGACUGCAGGGUGUUGGUGCUUGCACUGUGCCUCUGUAGGUGUGCCCAGUAUGAGAGUCCUUAUCUGCCUGCAUCAUCUGCAUAUACACAAGCCAGCAAGUUACACCAUCAUGCCCUGCUGUUUGACCAUCUUCCUGACUGAGGAGACUUGGACAGAGCUCCCUUCCAGGCUGGUCCGUGGUGCUCCUUGCUGAGAGCGCGAGCCGGAUUUGCUGGGCUACCUGAGGUUUACCAUGUGCAGAACUAGCUGCGAGUGGCAUCGGGUCAAACAGUUUCAGUUCUGCUCUGUACAGGGUAGUGGUGCCCCGUACGUACUCCUGAAGUUUAUUACAAUUCAGAUGGGCUUUCCCCUGUUAAGAAAAGGUCAUGUGGCCUGAGCCCUGGACUGGGACUUGCAGACGUGCAUAUUUUAAUCCUGCUCUAAACAGGACAGCGUGAUGCUGAGCAAGGUCUCAACCUCGGCCGGCCUCAACGUCCCUGUCAGUAAAGUGGGAAAUGAGCACUCCCCUCCUUCUCCAGGGUGAGCGGGAGAUGCAGUAGUUUCUGCGCGUAGCAUUGGGUGUUGUGCCGGUGAUGAUGAUGGUUCUGUUUAUUUAACACACUUUCCUAUUUUUUUUUUUUUUUAAAUACCAAACUGAUAUGCUCCAUCCAUCAGCAGUGCCCUCUGGGAACAAGUAGCUAAUUAAAGAGGGAGACUUGUGAAAAGACAAACCCCUGGUUAUACAUAGAACAGGUUUUGCCAGUAUGAGUGCCUACGUUUCUG